Molecule: ribosomal RNA, 420 nt
Filed under: uncultured eukaryote
Lineage: Eukaryota
Description: bacterial SSU rRNA
Rfam family: Eukaryotic small subunit ribosomal RNA
Source: RNAcentral
CCUGACGGUAGUCGUAUGCUCGUCUCCGAGACUAAGCCAUGCAAGUCCAAGUACACGUCCUUGAACGACGGAAACUGCGAACGGCUCAUUAAAUCAGUUGCGAUCUACUCGGCGUUCCGCGCCGCCGGAUAACCGUAGUAAUUCUAGGGCUAAUACGUGCGAAGCGCCGAAGCCGCGAGGCGACGGGCGUUCUCGCCGGAUGUAGGAACCGACCCGGGGACCGCCGGGGGCAACCCCGGCGCCCCCGAGACGGGGCGAACCACGGUGAAAUGACGGAUCGUCGGCCCCGCGCCGGCGACUCGCCGAAUGAGUUUCUGACCUAUCAACUCGAGACGGCGGGGUAGAGGCCCGCCGCGGUAACGACGGGUAACGGGGAAUCAGGGUUCGAUUCCGGAGAGGGAGCCCGAGAAACGGCUACCA